RNAcentral lists this ribosomal RNA (484 nucleotides) under uncultured Acidobacteriota bacterium. Its description in RNAcentral is "bacterial SSU rRNA". It matches the Rfam family "Bacterial small subunit ribosomal RNA", at positions 8 to 522 of the family's 1533-position model. Lineage: Bacteria; Pseudomonadati; Acidobacteriota. The record is from RNAcentral.
AGAGUUUGAUCCUGGCUCAGAAUCAACGCUGGCGGCGCGCCUAACACAUGCAAGUCGAACGAGAAAGCAGGGGCAACUCUGUGAGUAAAGUGGCGUACGGGUGAGUAACACGUGGAUAAUCUACCCUUUGGUGGGGGAUAACCCUGGGAAACCGGGGCUAAUACCGCAUAACCUCGAGAGAGGAAAGUCGCAAGACGCCGAAGGAGGAGUCCGCGGCCGAUUAGCUAGUUGGUAGGGUAAAAGCCUACCAAGGCAAAGAUCGGUAGCCGGCCUGAGAGGGCUCACGGCCACACUGGCACUGAAACACGGGCCAGACUCCUACGGGAGGCAGCAGUGGGGAAUCUUGCACAAUGGGGGAAACCCUGAUGCAGCGACGCCGCGUGAGCGAUGAAGCCCUUCGGGGUGUAAAGCUCUUUCGGCAGGGAAGAUGAUGACGGUACCUGCAGAAGCAGCUGCGGCUAACUACGUGCCAGCAGCCGCGGUA